Molecule: ribosomal RNA, 1416 nt
Filed under: Streptococcus thermophilus
Lineage: Bacteria; Bacillati; Bacillota; Bacilli; Lactobacillales; Streptococcaceae
Description: 16S ribosomal RNA
Rfam family: Bacterial small subunit ribosomal RNA
Source: RNAcentral
AAGAGAGGAGCUUGCUCUUCUUGGAUGAGUUGCGAACGGGUGAGUAACGCGUAGGUAACCUGCCUUGUAGCGGGGGAUAACUAUUGGAAACGAUAGCUAAUACCGCAUAACAAUGGAUGACACAUGUCAUUUAUUUGAAAGGGGCAAUUGCUCCACUACAAGAUGGACCUGCGUUGUAUUAGCUAGUAGGUGAGGUAAUGGCUCACCUAGGCGACGAUACAUAGCCGACCUGAGAGGGUGAUCGGCCACACUGGGACUGAGACACGGCCCAGACUCCUACGGGAGGCAGCAGUAGGGAAUCUUCGGCAAUGGGGGCAACCCUGACCGAGCAACGCCGCGUGAGUGAAGAAGGUUUUCGGAUCGUAAAGCUCUGUUGUAAGUCAAGAACGGGUGUGAGAGUGGAAAGUUCACACUGUGACGGUAGCUUACCAGAAAGGGACGGCUAACUACGUGCCAGCAGCCGCGGUAAUACGUAGGUCCCGAGCGUUGUCCGGAUUUAUUGGGCGUAAAGCGAGCGCAGGCGGUUUGAUAAGUCUGAAGUUAAAGGCUGUGGCUCAACCAUAGUUCGCUUUGGAAACUGUCAAACUUGAGUGCAGAAGGGGAGAGUGGAAUUCCAUGUGUAGCGGUGAAAUGCGUAGAUAUAUGGAGGAACACCGGUGGCGAAAGCGGCUCUCUGGUCUGUAACUGACGCUGAGGCUCGAAAGCGUGGGGAGCGAACAGGAUUAGAUACCCUGGUAGUCCACGCCGUAAACGAUGAGUGCUAGGUGUUGGAUCCUUUCCGGGAUUCAGUGCCGCAGCUAACGCAUUAAGCACUCCGCCUGGGGAGUACGACCGCAAGGUUGAAACUCAAAGGAAUUGACGGGGGCCCGCACAAGCGGUGGAGCAUGUGGUUUAAUUCGAAGCAACGCGAAGAACCUUACCAGGUCUUGACAUCCCGAUGCUAUUUCUAGAGAUAGAAAGUUACUUCGGUACAUCGGUGACAGGUGGUGCAUGGUUGUCGUCAGCUCGUGUCGUGAGAUGUUGGGUUAAGUCCCGCAACGAGCGCAACCCCUAUUGUUAGUUGCCAUCAUUCAGUUGGGCACUCUAGCGAGACUGCCGGUAAUAAACCGGAGGAAGGUGGGGAUGACGUCAAAUCAUCAUGCCCCUUAUGACCUGGGCUACACACGUGCUACAAUGGUUGGUACAACGAGUUGCGAGUCGGUGACGGCGAGCUAAUCUCUUAAAGCCAAUCUCAGUUCGGAUUGUAGGCUGCAACUCGCCUACAUGAAGUCGGAAUCGCUAGUAAUCGCGGAUCAGCACGCCGCGGUGAAUACGUUCCCGGGCCUUGUACACACCGCCCGUCACACCACGAGAGUUUGUAACACCCGAAGUCGGUGAGGUAAUCUUUUGGAGCCAGCCGUAUAAGGUGGGACAGAU